GCCAGCAUGGCAUAGUGGUUUGAGCACUGGACUAAGAUUCUGGAGAGCAGGAUUCAAAUCCCAGAUCAGUCA
Phrynosoma platyrhinos (Desert horned lizard) is the source of this 72-nucleotide non-coding RNA. The record is from the annotation of a GenBank genome assembly. NCBI's taxonomy places the organism in Eukaryota, Metazoa, Chordata, Lepidosauria, Squamata, Phrynosomatidae.